This 885-nucleotide ribosomal RNA is filed under the name Bacillus sp. (in: firmicutes). Its description in RNAcentral is "bacterial SSU rRNA". It matches the Rfam family "Bacterial small subunit ribosomal RNA", at positions 62 to 928 of the family's 1533-position model. The record is from RNAcentral. Lineage: Bacteria; Bacillati; Bacillota; Bacilli; Caryophanales; Bacillaceae.
UCGAGCGGACAGAUGGGAGCUUGCUCCCUGAUGUUAGCGGCGGACGGGUGAGUAACACGUGGGUAACCUGCCUGUAAGACUGGGAUAACUCCGGGAAACCGGGGCUAAUACCGGAUGGUUGUUUGAACCGCAUGGUUCAAACAUAAAAGGUGGCUUCGGCUACCACUUACAGAUGGACCCGCGGCGCAUUAGCUAGUUGGUGAGGUAAUGGCUCACCAAGGCAACGAUGCGUAGCCGACCUGAGAGGGUGAUCGGCCACACUGGGACUGAGACACGGCCCAGACUCCUACGGGAGGCAGCAGUAGGGAAUCUUCCGCAAUGGACGAAAGUCUGACGGAGCAACGCCGCGUGAGUGAUGAAGGUUUUCGGAUCGUAAAGCUCUGUUGUUAGGGAAGAACAAGUACCGUUCGAAUAGGGCGGUACCUUGACGGUACCUAACCAUAAAGCCACGGCUAACUACGUGCCAGCAGCCGCGGUAAUACGUAGGUGGCAAGCGUUGUCCGGAAUUAUUGGGCGUAAAGGGCUCGCAGGCGGUUUCUUAAGUCUGAUGUGAAAGCCCCCGGCUCAACCGGGGAGGGUCAUUGGAAACUGGGGAACUUGAGUGCAGAAAAGGAGAGUGGAAUUCCACGUGUAGCGGUGAAAUGCGUAGAGAUGUGGAGGAACACCAGUGGCGAAGGCGACUCUCUGGUCUGUAACUGACGCUGAGGAGCGAAAGCGUGGGGAGCGAACACGAUUACAUACCCUGAUAGUCCACUCCGUAAACGAUGAGUGCUAAGUGUUAGGGGGUUUCCGCCCCUUAGUGCUGCAGCUAACGCAUUACGCACUCCGCCUGCUGAGUACGGUCGCAAGACUGAGACUCUCACGAAUUGACGGGGGCCCUCACAA